Molecule: ribosomal RNA, 1538 nt
Filed under: Escherichia coli
Lineage: Bacteria; Pseudomonadati; Pseudomonadota; Gammaproteobacteria; Enterobacterales; Enterobacteriaceae
Description: bacterial SSU rRNA
Rfam family: Bacterial small subunit ribosomal RNA
Source: RNAcentral
UUGAAGAGUUUGAUCAUGGCUCAGAUUGAACGCUGGCGGCAGGCCUAACACAUGCAAGUCGAACGGUAACAGGAAGCAGCUUGCUGCUUUGCUGACGAGUGGCGGACGGGUGAGUAAUGUCUGGGAAACUGCCCGAUGGAGGGGGAUAACUACUGGAAACGGUAGCUAAUACCGCAUAACGUCGCAAGACCAAAGAGGGGGACCUUAGGGCCUCUUGCCAUCGGAUGUGCCCAGAUGGGAUUAGCUAGUAGGUGGGGUAAAGGCUCACCUAGGCGACGAUCCCUAGCUGGUCUGAGAGGAUGACCAGCCACACUGGAACUGAGACACGGUCCAGACUCCUACGGGAGGCAGCAGUGGGGAAUAUUGCACAAUGGGCGCAAGCCUGAUGCAGCCAUGCCGCGUGUAUGAAGAAGGCCUUCGGGUUGUAAAGUACUUUCAGCGGGGAGGAAGGGAGUAAAGUUAAUACCUUUGCUCAUUGACGUUACCCGCAGAAGAAGCACCGGCUAACUCCGUGCCAGCAGCCGCGGUAAUACGGAGGGUGCAAGCGUUAAUCGGAAUUACUGGGCGUAAAGCGCACGCAGGCGGUUUGUUAAGUCAGAUGUGAAAUCCCCGGGCUCAACCUGGGAACUGCAUCUGAUACUGGCAAGCUUGAGUCUCGUAGAGGGGGGUAGAAUUCCAGGUGUAGCGGUGAAAUGCGUAGAGAUCUGGAGGAAUACCGGUGGCGAAGGCGGCCCCCUGGACGAAGACUGACGCUCAGGUGCGAAAGCGUGGGGAGCAAACAGGAUUAGAUACCCUGGUAGUCCACGCCGUAAACGAUGUCGACUUGGAGGUUGUGCCCUUGAGGCGUGGCUUCCGGAGCUAACGCGUUAAGUCGACCGCCUGGGGAGUACGGCCGCAAGGUUAAAACUCAAAUGAAUUGACGGGGGCCCGCACAAGCGGUGGAGCAUGUGGUUUAAUUCGAUGCAACGCGAAGAACCUUACCUGGUCUUGACAUCCACGGAAGUUUUCAGAGAUGAGAAUGUGCCUUCGGGAACCGUGAGACAGGUGCUGCAUGGCUGUCGUCAGCUCGUGUUGUGAAAUGUUGGGUUAAGUCCCGCAACGAGCGCAACCCUUAUCCUUUGUUGCCAGCGGUCCGGCCGGGAACUCAAAGGAGACUGCCAGUGAUAAACUGGAGGAAGGUGGGGAUGACGUCAAGUCAUCAUGGCCCUUACGACCAGGGCUACACACGUGCUACAAUGGCGCAUACAAAGAGAAGCGACCUCGCGAGAGCAAGCGGACCUCAUAAAGUGCGUCGUAGUCCGGAUUGGAGUCUGCAACUCGACUCCAUGAAGUCGGAAUCGCUAGUAAUCGUGGAUCAGAAUGCCACGGUGAAUACGUUCCCGGGCCUUGUACACACCGCCCGUCACACCAUGGGAGUGGGUUGCAAAAGAAGUAGGUAGCUUAACCUUCGGGAGGGCGCUUACCACUUUGUGAUUCAUGACUGGGGUGAAGUCGUAACAAGGUAACCGUAGGGGAACCUGCGGUUGGAUCACCUCCUU